CCUACGGGUGGCAGCAGUGAGGAAUAUUGGUCAAUGGCCGUAAGCCUGAACCAGCCAAGUAGCGUGAGGGAAGACUGCCCUAUGGGUUGUAAACCUCUUUUGUGCGGGGAUAAAGGUGUCCACGUGUGGAUUUUUGCAGGUACCGCAUGAAUAAGGACCGGCUAAUUCCGUGCCAGCAGCCGCGGUAAUACGGAAGGUCCGGGCGUUAUCCGGAUUUAUUGGGUUUAAAGGGAGCGUAGGCCGGGUUUUAAGCGUGCCGUGAAAUUUUGUGGCUCAACCCUGAGAGUGCGGCGUGAACUGGAGUGCUUGAGUGCGCGGAAGGUAGGCGGAAUGCGUGGUGUAGCGGUGAAAUGCUUAGAUAUCACGCAGAACCCCGAGUGCGAAGGCAGCCUGCCGCAGCGUGACUGACGCUGAAGCUCGAAAGCGUGGGUAUCGAACAGGAUUAGAUACCCUUGUAGUC
Molecule: ribosomal RNA, 460 nt
Filed under: uncultured bacterium
Lineage: Bacteria
Description: partial 16S ribosomal RNA
Rfam family: Bacterial small subunit ribosomal RNA
Source: RNAcentral